GUCAUCCAUUCCCAAUCAUGUUUCUAAUCUCUGGCCUGUACUUCCUGCUUCUCCUACAGGCGCAGACUUGGACGACCGGCGAUGACGAGGGUUCAACGAGAGAUGAGUUCUAUGAUGAUGAAGACCUGUACUCGGGCUCCGGCUCUGGAUUUCCUGAGAUCAGCGUGAGGCCGACCUCCGUGAGCGUGUCCUUCACCACAGAAGAGCCCCUAAUCCUGUCCACCACCCAGGCCACGAACCCCGCCCCCUCUGCCUCCCCCGCCGCCGAGCCCAGUCCCAAUCCAGACCCCACGGUCAUCAGCACCACGCUACAGCCCACCACGACGGAGGCCGACGGCGAGAGCGGAGUGUUCUGGGACCUGGAUAAGGAGGAGAAAGAGAAGGAGCGGCAGAAGGAGCUGGAGCGCCAGGCCGAACGGGAACGGGAGAGGGAGCGCGAGCGGGAACGUGUUCGUGAGCUGGAGAGAGAGAAGGAGAGGGAGCGGGAGAGAGAGCUGGAGCGACAGAGAGAGAGGGAGAGAGAGCGCGAGCUGGAGCGCAUCCGGGUCGCCGCACAGACGACCACUGCCCCAUAGUGACCACCACCAACCCGGCCACGAGCACGGCCGAGACCCCCGCGCCAUCUCCUGGAGCGGACGGCCUGGGCACCACCGAGGAAGAGGAUGACGACGUGUACCUGUCGCCAGAGCCCACGUCACCGUACGCAGGGUUUGACACGGACUUCACCACAGAGGACGACAUGACCACAGCCGAGCCCACGCCAGAGCCCACCACCACAGCGACACCCAUCACCACGACAACUGCACCCACCACCACCAUCAGGACCAAGGUGCCAUUCAGGCCGAGGUUUCCCAUGGCAACCACUCCGCUGCGCCCACAACGAGAGCACAGCAGCCCACGACAACGCAGGUAAGGGCCAAUGCGAGCAGAAGACUACAUAAAGUUAUGGUUAAAAGUUGAAAGUGUUACAGUUCUGCCCUGAAUUCAGCCAGUCAUGUGAAUCUGCACCAUCAACUAAACAUUGCUUCUUUUAUAUUACAGAAAAAGUUGAGGACCAGUCAGAAUUUAAGCUAAGAACAAGAGAUGGUUUGAGAGUUGUAUGAAAGAGGCAAUUUUUGUGAUUAAAGCAACCCUUCACUGAAUCGUCAAGAGGGCCUUAGUUUCAACUUGCCCUCCAUUUGCAGUCUUUCCCGCCACAAGUCGAGAACACAACAUCAAGGGCGCUAUCAAGCUAAUGAGUCUGAGACAAAACUGUUGUCAUAGCAAUAGACAAAGUUCUUUUGUCUAUGAUUGAGAACUCCUGCACGACUGAGACCUUACACAAACUAAUUUGUUCCUUUACCAC
RNAcentral lists this long non-coding RNA (1345 nucleotides) under Neogobius melanostomus (round goby). RNAcentral describes it as "lncRNA (ENSNMLG00000010335.1)". Lineage: Eukaryota; Metazoa; Chordata; Actinopteri; Gobiiformes; Gobiidae. The record is from RNAcentral.